UGAAGGUUGGACGAGGGAUGAGCUGUCUCCUUUACGUAAUUUGAAUUUAACUUUUGAGUGAAAAGGCUCAAAUUAUUUAGUGGGACGAUAAGACCCUAUAAAACUUUAUAUAAGUUUAAUUUGGCUUACAAUUUGAGUGAAAAGUAGCUUUAUUAGGCUUAUAUUUCGUUGGGGAGAUGUAGAUAUAAUGUGUAACUGUCUGUUUAAUUUAAUAAUUAUAAUUAGUGUGUGAUCCUUCUUUGUGGAUUAAAAGUAUAAGUUACUUUAGGGAUAACAGCGUGAUUUUCUUUGAGAGUUCUUAUCGACAAGAGUAGUUGCGCCCUCCAUGUUGAAUUAAAAUUUCAGUUAGGUGUAGCCGUCUAGCUGGUAGGUCUGUUCGACCUUUAAAAUUUUACAUGAUUUGAGUUCAAACCGGUGUGAGCCAGGUUGGUUUUAUCUAAA
Molecule: ribosomal RNA, 441 nt
Filed under: Macrobrachium superbum
Lineage: Eukaryota; Metazoa; Arthropoda; Malacostraca; Decapoda; Palaemonidae
Description: partial 16S ribosomal RNA
Rfam family: Bacterial large subunit ribosomal RNA
Source: RNAcentral